AGCGGGGUAGUAAGCUUGCUUACUACUGCCGGCGACCGGCGCUCGGGUGAGUAACACGUAUGCAACCUGGCCGUCACAGAGGGAUAACCGGGAGAAAUCCCGCCUAAUACCGCAUAAUACCGGGGAAGGACAUCCUUUCCCGGUCAAAGGAGCGAUCCGGUGACGAAUGGGCAUGCGCCGCAUUAGUUAGUUGGCGGUGUAACGGACCACCAAGACGACGAUGCGUAGGGGUUCUGAGAGGAAGGUCCCCCACACUGGUACUGAGACACGGACCAGACUCCUACGGGAGGCAGCAGUGAGGAAUAUUGGUCAAUGGGCGAGAGCCUGAACCAGCCAAGUCGCGUGAGGGAAGACGGUCCUAUGGAUUGUAAACCUCUUUUGCCGGGGAGCAAAAAGCGGUACGUGUACCGCAUCGAGAGUACCCGGAGAAAAAGCAUCGGCUAACUCCGUGCCAGCAGCCGCGGUAAUACGGAGGAUGCGAGCGUUAUCCGGAUUUAUUGGGUUUAAAGGGUGCGCAGGCGGCGAGUUAAGUCAGCGGUAAAAUUUCGGGGCUCAACCCCGACAAGCCGUUGAAACUGGCUUGCUAGAGUGGGCGAGAAGUAUGCGGAAUGCGUGGUGUAGCGGUGAAAUGCAUAGAUAUCACGCAGAACUCCGAUUGCGAAGGCAGCAUACCGGCGCCCAACUGACGCUCAGGCACGAAAGCGUAGGUAUCGAACA
Molecule: ribosomal RNA, 717 nt
Filed under: uncultured bacterium
Lineage: Bacteria
Description: bacterial SSU rRNA
Rfam family: Bacterial small subunit ribosomal RNA
Source: RNAcentral